GAUUGGCUACAGUAAGUUCACUGUAGGAGUAGGGUAUGCACCUACAUGGAAUCUAUCGACCUUGAUAGAUGAGGAGAGAUCCUAUGUGAUUUAUUAGACUGAGUUCUAAGACCUUGGCCAGGGCAAUAAUAUACAGUGGAGAAAGAGUUUUCCACUAUCGAACUCAAGUCGUAUAAAUCUAGACAUAUGACAGAUGACGGGGUUUGA
RNAcentral lists this long non-coding RNA (207 nucleotides) under Phoenix dactylifera (date palm). RNAcentral describes it as "long non-coding RNA (PDAC_LNC006840)". Lineage: Eukaryota; Viridiplantae; Streptophyta; Magnoliopsida; Arecales; Arecaceae. The record is from RNAcentral.